Molecule: ribosomal RNA, 478 nt
Filed under: uncultured bacterium
Lineage: Bacteria
Description: partial 16S ribosomal RNA
Rfam family: Bacterial small subunit ribosomal RNA
Source: RNAcentral
GACGAACGCUGGCGGCGUGCUUAACACAUGCAAGUCGAACGGUAAGGCCCUUCGGGGUACACGAGUGGCGAACGGGUGAGUAACACGUGGGUGAUCUGCCCUGCACUUCGGGAUAAGCCUGGGAAACUGGGUCUAAUACCGGAUAGGACCACUGCCUGCAUGGGUGGUGGUGGAAAGCGUUUGCGGUGUGGGAUGGGCCCGCGGCCUAUCAGCUUGUUGGGGGGGUGAUGGCCUACCAAGGCGAUGACGGGUAGCCGGCCUGAGAGGGGGACCGUCCACACUGGGACUGAGAAACGGCCCGGACUCCUAGGGGGGGCAGCAGUGGGUAAUAUUGCACAAUGGGCGCAAGCCUGAUGCAGCGACGCCGCGGUAGGGAUGACGGCCUUCGUGUUGUGAACCUCUUUCAGCACCGAGGAAGCGCAAGUGACGGUAGGUGCAGAAGAAGGACCGACCAACUACGUGCCAGCCGCCGCAGUAA